Molecule: ribosomal RNA, 556 nt
Filed under: uncultured Sebacinales
Lineage: Eukaryota; Fungi; Basidiomycota; Agaricomycetes; Sebacinales
Description: eukaryotic LSU rRNA
Rfam family: Eukaryotic large subunit ribosomal RNA (bases 176-556)
Source: RNAcentral
UGUUGAAUGUGGACUUGGAUGUUGCCGCUGUCCAACGGCUCAUCUGAAAUGCUUGAGUGUACCCUGCUUUGCACGCGUAUCAGUGUGAUAAACAUCUUCACUGUUAAGUCUCUAGGGACACGCUAGUGUUGCAGGCUCUAUGCUUCCAACCGUCUCAGGACAAUCUCUGACAAUUUGACCUCAAAUCGGGUGGGACUACCCGCUGAACUUAAGCAUAUCAAUAAGCGGAGGAAAAGAAACUAACAAGGUAUCCCCUAGUAACGGCGAGUGAAGAGGGAAAAGCUCAAAUUUUGAAUCUGGUGUCUUUGACUCCCGAGUUGUAAUCUAGAGAAGUGUUUUUCUGCGUUGGAUCCGUGCAAAAGUUCCCUGGAACGGGGCGUCAUAGAGGGUGAGAAAUCCCGUAUAUGGCACGGACUACCAUUGCUAUGUGAUACACUCUCAACGAGUCGAGUUGUUUGGGAAUGCAGCUCAAAAUGGGUGGUAAAUUCCAGUCUAAAGCUAAAUAUUGGCGAGAGACCGAUAGCGAACAAGUACCGUCGAGGGAAAGAUGAGAGAA